This 276-nucleotide ribosomal RNA is filed under the name uncultured soil bacterium. RNAcentral's name for it is "partial 16S ribosomal RNA". It matches the Rfam family "Bacterial small subunit ribosomal RNA", at positions 26 to 285 of the family's 1533-position model. The record is from RNAcentral.
AGAAUCAACGCUGGCGGCGUGCCUCAGACAUGCAAGUCGAACGCGAAAGUCCCCUUCGGGGGGCGAGUAGAGUGGCGCACGGGUGAGUAACACGUAGGUAAUCUACCUUUGGAUGGGGAAUAACAACCGGAAACGGUUGCUAAUACCGCAUAAUGCAGCGGCACCUAAUGGUGACAGUUGUUAAAGCGGGGGAUCGAAAGACCUCGCGUCUGAAGAGGAGCCUGCGGCGGAUUAGCUAGUUGGUAAGGUAACGGCUUACCAAGGCGACGAUCCGUA